GAUGCAGGGGCCGAAACCCUGCCCGGGGCCCGGUGACCGCGGGAGGGUUGUCUGAAGACGUCCCGGGACUCGGCAGAAGACGGCCCGAUCGGAGCGAGCGGCCGGCGCUGGUCAGCCCUUGCUGGCCCUGGUGAUGAUUAUUUUACCUCUUUGAAAACAGAUGUGUAAUUCAUUCAGCCCAGUACCGCGCUGUGCGAGAACUUUUCUCACUGUAGCCCAAACCAGAAACCAGGUUUUGGUCCCCUCAAAACCAGUCAAAGUACCUCUUGAUCUGGCAAUAAUUGAUUCCCUUCACAUCAACCCAAUCUGGCUGAGAUCCUUUAGGGCCUGCCUCCUUCCCAUUCCUUGGGAGACCGGCGAUUGGGGUCUCAACUUUCUGAUGAGAUCCAAGGCAGUGUGGAUGAAGAAGGGAGUGGAGAAGGAUACGUACAUCUCUGCGUCUCUACUGUAUCUCUUAGUGACCGUCUCCAGGGAGAAUAUAAUUUUGUCCUCAAAUGACCAGGAAGAUUUUCUAUCUGCUCAUCUCCUGUCCCUGCGUUUUUCUCCUGUUUUCUCUACUUGAUUCACUGUCGGUCUCCCUAGCGGGAAAAGAAUGUUUUGUUCUCUGUGGUAUCCCAAGCGCCCUGAGACAGAGCAAGUACUCAGAUACAUAUUUGUUGAAUGAAUGUAUGAUUCAAAUGUGAUGAGAUCCAGCCCCCCGCCACCUCCCACCCCUCAAGCAUUUCCCACCCGUGAGUUUCUUGCUGGACCCAAGCAGUGACAUUCAAGAGGGAAGGAGACACUUCACGACGAAUCAGUCCAGCC
This 804-nucleotide long non-coding RNA is filed under the name Capra hircus (goat). RNAcentral describes it as "lncRNA (ENSCHIG00010017982.1)". Lineage: Eukaryota; Metazoa; Chordata; Mammalia; Artiodactyla; Bovidae. The record is from RNAcentral.